Non-coding RNA from Meleagris gallopavo (turkey), 2118 nucleotides. Lineage: Eukaryota; Metazoa; Chordata; Aves; Galliformes; Phasianidae. The record is from RefSeq and is a predicted model, not a curated record.
AGGCCUGACCCCCAGUAACCAGGAGUACCACCUCUCUCCUCUUAUCUGCCGGUCAGUGAGCAGAAAUUGUGCUCCUCAGUGUUUUGGAAGCAGAAGUAACUGCUGUCUAUGGGCACACAGAGCUGGAAAUGAUCACGCAGUGCACAGAGGUACAGAGGAGCAGGGAGGAUCCGAUGCUUUGGGCUGCUGUGGCUCCGGGGCUGGACAGGUCAAGGGGGAAAACACACGGUAUCAUUUCUUUGUAUGGAUCUGGGGCGCAUGGAGCGAUGAACAAGGCAGUGAAGUUCUUAAAAGGCUGACUUCUUUCAAGAAUAUGCAUUCUGACUUACAAGUACCUGAAAUUCCCCAGGCUGUUGCCUGGCACAGCCCUCUCCCUGCGCUGCAUGCUAAGAGCUGUUCUAAAGCUUCCCAGCUGCGUGCUCUCCCGCAGCAUUUGCAGGCAGGUCACAGACAUCCCUUCAGUGGUUUCACGAAGCAGAAUGGCUUUUUCCUGAUGAAAUGCACAUUAUGUGCCUGAUUUUUGUUUGACUUUACUGCAGAUAUCCUGCCUGGCAAAGGGUUUUCUGGUUGUUAUUUAUUUCCCUUCAUUUUCUGCUAUAAAGCAUAAGAACCCCAAACACAAUAUUUUUAGAACCGUGGUGUUCUGCAGUGCAUUAUUGCUGAGACAUUUUGACAUUUAAACCAACAAACAGGACGAGUCUGCACCGCUCUGCCCAUCAAAGCAUUUAGAGCCCCUCAGAAUCUGAAGCAGCUGUUUAAAUGAAAGAUGAAUUUUGAUGUGUUGGGUUUCAUUGCAGUGCUGCAGGGAAAGGUGCUCUGUGCACACCAGUGGCGGGGCAGUCAGGGAGAGCCUGGCUUGGAAUGGGUUCAGACAGAAGGAAAAAUGUCCAAAUGGAAUUAUACACACCUGUGAGUUAUCAGCAGGUACAAAAAUGCAGCUGAGUGGCAGAGACCGAGGAGCAGCUGCUGGGGAGCAGUGAUGUGGGGCUGAGCAGUGACCCCAGCAGCAAAAUGCAGCCCAGGGGCAGCUCCACAAGGCAAGGCAAUGGCUCAGGCCCCAGCACUGCUUCCCAACCUCUCCUGCACAGCCAGAGGUGAGAGCUGAAGCACCCCACAACAAUGCUCAUAAGGAACGCAGGACUGAAAUCAGCUCCGACUUUCAGCACGUCCUUUGAAAGCUGAUUGCCAGACUCCAUCCGUGGGCGAGGUGGGUCACUCGCCGUCCCGCUGAGCAGCGCUGCUCGCCAGCAUCCCCCCGUCGGUGCGUGCAGGAGCGCUGAGCACGGAGCAGCUCUGCUGCUGGGAGAGCUUCGCUGCACGGGAUCGCUGGAGCCGAUGUGUUGGUGCCGAGGGGUGGCGGCCUUGCAGAGAGGCUGAGCGGCUCCUGAGCUUUGGUUGCUGCCGUCUGAUUGCUGGGCAGACGAUGAGCUCUGAGUGAGCUCAGCAGCACUUCACCUCCAAGCCAGCGCUGCAGGUGUGGAUUCAAAUGCGCAUUUCUGGCAAUGUGCAGCACUCAGCAAAAAGCCGUUUCCUUCAGUUCCUCUUCCCAAAGCAAAAGCUCAACGCGUGGGGAUGGCAAAGCAGUGCUGUUUGGUGACACGCUCCCGUCGGCGUUGUGUGCUUUCCCGACAUCUCCUUCAUUUGAGACUUUAUCCAAACUCAUUACGAGAACCAGAUUAAUCAAUGUGUGGAGCUUCAUUAACGACAUCUAUCUUAGAAGAGCUUUUGUGUCACGUAAGGGUGAAAUUCCUGUCUUGUCAAAGUCCUGAGUGGUUCCUCUUCUUCCCCAGCUUCAUCCGCUGCUCCUCCUGCCGUGUUCCUGCACAGGCAGGGCAGGAGGAUGGCUGUGACAGUCAGGACGUGGGAAGGAGCCAAGAGAGAAAGCUGCAGCUCAGAUCUCUGCAGCCUCGCACACGGAUGCGCUUCACACCGGUGUGUUUCACUGCACUGUGUAGGAAGCGAUGCACCUCAGCCGCCCACUGAAUUCCACGCUGCUGCUUUUCCCCCUUUAUUUCCAGUUAACUUUUGCCGUAUUUGCUUAACAGCACAGACGCUGCAGUUGUGCCUCGAAGGCACCCCUCAUCCAGAGGGGCAGCGCUGGGGGCCGUGGGACAGGUG